UGAUGAGUCAAGACUAUUGCAAUUGGAAAUCUGUUCUCCUCUGCUGCUGCAUUCCCUGCUUAAUACUCAAGCCAGAAACCAGGAAGGCUGUGGCUUGCCUUUUCACUUCUUGUGUCCUGUUUAAGAAAUAUCUGCUAUCCCAAGCAUCUGGCAUCUUUCUUGACAUAUGUAGCAGUUGCUUUUUGACAGCUUGCUUCUUCAGUGAAUGAAUAAAUUAAUAAAGAGAAAUGUGAUGUUCAGUGAUCCAUUUUGCAGAUAACACUAACAAAGUUGACCUUAGAAUUGGAGUGCCUGGGUUAGAACCCUGCUGGUACCACCUGCUUACUGCAUGCUUCUGAUGUGAGUUCAGGAGAAGACACUGGCAAGGACAGCAAAGAACAGGAGAACACUCUAGCUUCCCUGAUAGCAUUCAAGGUGCUGUCCAAAGCUCUUGAGUUUCUGCUUUCAAGUGACCCUCAGAAAUUCCUCCAUUCACUGCAGAGGUUCUGUUUCUCCUUGCUUUGUUCUGACUUUACGGCAGAACUAAGCUAAUGAGUUAGUUACUAUGGGUUAUCACUUGGAUUUGAAGAACCAUCAUUUCUAGGCAUUGCUGCUCAGAGUGGGUCUGCCCUCAGGGGAAGCUGUCUAACCAGAGCCUAACCCACUAGGGUUUUAUCAGAACCUAACUGACCUGAGGAAAAGAAAUACUCAACUCCAGCAAGCUCCAGCCUUCCAAAUGGAGGAGGAGAAAACCCAACUCCAGCCCACUUCAGCUAUCUUGUCCCACAUAAAGGGGAAGUGGAAGAAACCUGAGAAGCAGGCAUGAAGUUCACAGUCCAGAGUGUAUUCCACACCAUUUCAUAUUCCAUCGCAUUCCAUUCUACACAAUUCCACAUCUCCCCGGCCACAUCAGCCUGAGAGUAAUAAACAGACCUUGCCAUCGUAUCCCCUUUUGGAGACACAAGCCAGGAAGGAAGCUCUUCAGUGCAGCUGUGAAUAGAGAAAUGCUGGCUGAGGUUUUGGAGACACUGGGUGAUCAUUCCCAGUGAAAUUUUUAGAUCCCUGGGGACAUGAGCUGCUUUGUCUUUUCCAAGGUCAGGAUAAACAGAAUAACUUCAGGCUUCUCUACCCAGAAAGAACAUGUGGCAUAAAUAUCAACUGCAGAAUAAAUAUGAUUAAUCUGGUACAUGGACGAAGAUGUUUUCUAGGAGAUGCUUAUCCUGGGAUGAGAGCUUUCAUAAGCAUUGAUAUUUACAUGACUCUUACCGUGUGUCAGGAACUGUUCUAAUUGUUUUACCUAUGUCAAUUCAUUUGAUAGUCACAACCACUGAAAGGAGUAAGUACUCUUAUUACUUCCAUUUUACAGAUAGGGAAACUGAGGUAUAGAGAAGUCAAGUGACUUGCCCGAGGUUAUUAAACUACUUAAUGUCAA
Long non-coding RNA from Homo sapiens (human), 1411 nucleotides. Ensembl annotates it as cancer susceptibility 19. Its record names the gene CASC19. The record is from Ensembl. NCBI's taxonomy places the organism in Eukaryota, Metazoa, Chordata, Mammalia, Primates, Hominidae.